Molecule: ribosomal RNA, 305 nt
Filed under: uncultured bacterium
Lineage: Bacteria
Description: bacterial SSU rRNA
Rfam family: Bacterial small subunit ribosomal RNA
Source: RNAcentral
CCUACGGGGGGCAGCAGUGGGGGAUAUUGCACAAUGGGGGCAACCCUGAUGCAGCGACGCCGCGUGAGCGAUGGAGUACUUCUGUAUGUAAAGCUCUGUCAGCAGGGAAGAGAAUGACGGUACCUGACCAAGAAGCCCCGGCUAACUACGUGCCAGCAGCCGCGGUAAUACGUAGGGAGCAAGCGUUGUCCGGAUUUACUGGGUGUAAAGGGUGCGUAGGCGGCCCUGCAAGUCAGACGUGAAAUCCAUGGGCUUAACCCGUGAACUGCUUUUGAAACUGUAGGGCUUGAGUGAAGUAGAGGCAG